CAGGUUUUGUAGCAGGAACUAGGGUUAUGGUUUCUGUUGGUUAUUGAAAGAUGAGAAAAAGUACAAAUAUUUCAUAUUUAUGCAAAUUUAUAGAAAUUUUGUUGAGAUACUUUGUUUGUAAUUUUAUGGGUAUGAAGUACGGAGAUGAGGGAGUCGCAUAUGUUUGGCAAUUGGAAGGGAAGGGGAUUAGGGAUUCUGUUUCUGAUGAUGUGCUACAACCGGCCUUUGCCAUUGCAGGUGCGCUUGCAUGGCAGGCCACUCAAAAUUUAAUAAAAGGGAAGAAGAGGUUUUUUGUUUUUGAGGGGAGAAAUUCUCCGGGAUUUUUGAACCGGAUUCUCCCCUCUGGUGUGUGGUGUUCAUGUGUGCCAUGCUGUUUUUUUUUUUUGGUUGCUAAAUCUAUUUGUGUUUGAUUUAACUCGCCUUUGAUCAAAUUCACCAGCCACAACAUAAACAGACAACAAAAUCUGCACUCAAAAGAUAUGAAUGAAUAAGCAAGGCUCUCAAUAUGUUGAAAAAGGUACAGUUUUGUCCAACUUUUUUAUAAGCCAAUUAAUUUGCAUAUCCUGAUGCUCAUAAAUUUUAGGAUCUUUGAUAUUAUAUUUCCUCCUUCACCUAUUGAGUAACUUACUUUCUUAGAUUACGAUUUAAAAAUUUUGUAUAAAAAUUGUGCAAGCCAGUGAUCAAGUACAUCAUAUUGAAUAAGUACCAAUAGAACAAGUACCUUGAAAGAGUUCCAUUUUGCACCCUGUCAUUCUCUUAAUUAUGAACUAUCUAAUUUGCACCGGUUCAGAGAUGGGCAAGGUUGCUGCUCUAAACCUCGUAAGCAUGGUCUCUAAAUAGGUAAAGCUAAAAAUGUAACAUGUCUUACAGCGCAGCUGGAUAUGAAUCAUAUCCGGGUAAUUCAACAUAUUAUAGACCAACAACACGGUAUACUGUCAUUACUCCCUCUAUUCCCAUUUGUGAAAAUUGCAAACUUAAUGGUUUUUAGGUGAUCUUUAGGCUUUAUAUUUUUCUUCAAUGUUUAACCUACAUAUAAUGAUUGUUUAGUUUAGUGGUGAUGUCAUUAUAAUGAAAUUGUGAUGUUAUUAAACUUGAGGACUUGUUGUCAUUUUAUACCAUCAUUAAUAAAUGUGAGACUUUUUAUGUGGAACAAAAAAUAAUUGGCAAAUGAGAUCUUUUGUAUUGAAAAGUUGGAGCAAGUUACAACAAUGACACUGAGCAAAAUUAACAACAGAUCUAUUAUGAUAACAUCGUUUAUUUACAAAUUACAACGGAAUGACUCACAGUGUCCUGUAAUAUGUCUCCAGUAACAUUUGGUUAGUUUUUGAGUUAAUUAAUUUUGUUUUGCAAUAUCAUUUAAUAAACUGACAUGAAAAUCUCAAUAAUCAAUAUUGUGAUACAUGUGAUAUUUUUCUGAAGAAGGGAAUGUAUGUGAUGAUCUAUUGUGAUCAUUAUAUUAUUACUUUUAGCUUUUAGUAAUUGAUAUUUGGAACUGUUGGCGACUUGUAAAAAGCCUAUUUGUUUUUUGUUCUUGUUUCUCCCUUAAUGGUGUUCAAUUCAAAAGAUUGGUUGGGCUUAAGCCAAUAGGCACUCAUAGGAGAUUGAAGGCGCUUGUAAGGAUAAAGUUCUUUUGUCUCUCAAUUGGGAACUAUAUUAGGAGGAGGAUUUUGAAGUGAUUGUUCCUACAGGUGUCAUGCAUUAUGUGUUGAAAAUGAUCUGUGAAACAAAGGUGACUAUUUCACACAUUUGAUGUCCAAUUGAACCCUGCUCAGAAGAUUUUGAAGCAGGUGAUUGUUUCUUCAUGUGUUGAAAGGUGACCAUUUCACAUUUUGCUAUCCAAUUGAACUCUGCUGGUGUUGUUAGUUUUUAACGUUGAAAAUACAAGGCUCAUGGUUAAACUUUCUUUGAUUUGAAGCUGGAUGAAAGUUUAGUUGAGCAGCGGUAUUGUAUAGUUUUAAUUUGUUAUACAUGAUUAACUUUUAACUUUGUUGUAAAUUGUUUUUAAUUCUGAUAAGACUUUUGCAAAUUUUUAAUACACAUCCAUCACUGUAAUUCAUUGAUAGGGUUUUGCACUUUAGCGCUUUACCAAUUGGUUUUGAUCUAUACAAUAGAGUGCUUAAAGUCUUCUGUUUAUUUAAACUUGGUGUGUAGAUUCUAUUUCUUGCCUGCUUAAUUUCUUAUUAUUCCGAGUAACCCUAUUUAUUUACGCUGUCAUAAUAUUAUUCAAUUUUUUUCUUUUGUACGUAGUAUAUUUAUAUUAUUGUUAGGAUGUUUUGUGUGUGUGUGUGUGUGUAUAUAUAUAUAUAUGAUGAUUUCCAGAUUAAAUCUUUCUCAGCAUGAAAAUUUGUUUCUAACAUGGUUCUCAGAAGUCCACUAUUUUCACCAAAUCUGUGAGAAGGACUGAAAGAGUGAGAUUUGUAAACCUGAUUUACAGAUUGGCAGCCAUCAGUAUAUUUGCAUGUUGGAGAGUAUAACCAGCUGUAGGUGCUGGCAAUUGAAAAAUAAUGUUGAGCGACAUAACUUAAAACAUUACCUAUCCUUCGCUAUUUUUCAAGAUCCAUAGGCUUAGAAUGGCAAGAGCACUCAGACCUUGAUCUGAGAGGUUGGUGGUUCAAAUCCACCUGGAUCUAAUUAUAAUAAUGUUGGUUUUUGGAUUGAAUAUCUUAAAUUCUAUUUUAGUUCAUUUUAAGUAGCAUUCAUGGUUUUGUAAUGUAAAGCUUCUUUAUGAUUGCAACUAUAUAUAUAUAUAUAUAUAUAUAUAUAUAUUCUUUGCAUGUUCUAAAAAAGAGCAUCCGUAUUUACUAGGGGAUAAGAGGAUACUUAUGUUGUUGAUAGCCAAGUAAUUAAUACCUACAGGAAGAAAAAACAAAUAAGUAUUGAUGGAAUUAAUUGUGGAGUUGGUGUUUCAAGUUUUGUUUAUGCGAUGGUAUCAUCUCUUCAUCUUUUCUUGUAUUUAUCUUAUGUGUAAAAUGGCCUCAGCUAAUUAUUUGCUUACACAACAAAGUAUUUUCCAUAGAAGAUUUGAAAUGUAGGCACAGCUGAGUUCUCAUGUAGGUCUAUUUAUAUUUUGUCAAUUAGAAGUAUGGAUGGCAGUUUACUGAGUGCCAAAGGUCUACAGUUUUGGAUGCCAAAGGCCAGAAUCAGAAUUUGAAGGUGAAUGGUUCCCAUUCUUUCCCCCUCAUACCCCCACCAGGAUCAGGUUGACUUUCCCCUUUUAAGGUUUAAUUGUGGAUAGCAAAAUCCAAAUCGUCGAGGUGAAUGUCCCUGGUGCCCACCCCUUCCUACAGUACUCUGAUGUAAUCUAGAUUUUGUAAUGAGGUGUCUUCUAAAUUCUUAUAUGGAACUUCCUACACUACUAGAAGAAUGUUACUUUGAUCUAUUCUAGAUUUUGUAAUGAGGUGUCUUCUAAAUUCUUAUAUGGAACUAAAGAAUUGUUUAUGUGUUUUUUUAAUACUAUGGAAAGUAGCUGCUCUGUUACAUUUACAGGCACAUGUUUUAAUAGCUUGAGAUUCUGAGAUACAAUUGGUUGCAACUCAUUAAAAUAUAUAUAUAUAUAUAUAUUUAUAUUUUUCACUUCAAAAACUAGUGCUUUAUUUUGUUUUUGGCUGUCCAUAUGUUUGUAGUGCGAACUAAAUGAAUGAUUUUGAAUUUUAUUUUGAUUGCCAAAAAUAUGACACGUUAAUGUCAGUAAUAUAAACAAAAAAAAGUAUUAAUAUAUUAUCGUUAGGUGUGUGAGAGUAGUUUUUUCUUGUUAUGUCUUAUGCUGAGAAAACUGAAAAAGAGGUCAUAAAGCUGGAAUGUGCAAGAGUUUGACAUCUUUCCUUUUAGAGUUGCAGAUUAUUUGCAUAAAGAUUAUACUGUUUAGACAUGUCUUACAUUAUGCAGGCAUGAUAUUCUGUAUUUAUUUGUGUCAGGGUAGAAGAUAUUGAGCAUUAGAAGAGGAAUUCUACUUGAUUGAGGAUGUUCAGGAAUCCGUGAGCACUAUCCGAUGCCAGAUAACACUUGCUUCCCAUAUUUUGAAAUAUUUUCAAUUUUUUGUUUUAAUGAACUUGUUUCAUUAUAAAUGCACGUCUCUUUAGGCCUUUGUUGAAUGUGUUGUUUUCUGAGCUUUUCAGCAGCAGCAGCCAGCCUAACAACUGUGGUUUGGCAUCCCACAUGCUUCUUUUCUCAGCAAGUCCAUGCAAGUGCUACCCUAAUCGCUUGCUUGACAACACCCUAAACUGAUCCCAGUAAUUUUCCUUAUUUUUCUUUCUAUUUGGGUAGCUUACAACUUUUUUAUAUAUAUAUUUGGCCUAAUCUGUAUAUAUAUUAUGGAACAUGAAGCUACAUAUUAUUUUAUAAUAAUAAUAAUAAUAAAAUGAGUUAAUUAACGGGUUAAAGAUGGUUGGAAUAUUUUUACAACUGUACUAAUAUUUAUUAUUAUUUUGUGUAAUUAGUUCGAAAUUUAAUUAGUUCGUUUUGUUACUCAUUUUGAAUUUGAUUAUUGUUUCACAUAAUUGUUCUUUGUGAAAUUAAUAUGAUAAUUUCAUGUUGGCAUUGAUACAUAGAAUUUGUAUUUAUACUCUUUGAAUUAGGUUGACGUAUGUAGUAUUUAUUUUAAUCUUUUAGAGAUGUAUAUGUUAAUGUAUCUUUGGAGCUUAGUAUUUAUUUUUGUUUUAGUGUUACAUGUACACUUAGAACCAUUUCGUUGGUAUGGUGUCACAUGUGUUGUGACAUUAUAUCUUUGUUAAGUAUAUCUGAGCUAUAACCACAUGUGAGAUACCACAAGUAUGUUCUCUUGGCACUAAAGCAUGACACCUUCCGUGGUGGUGUAAUCAAUUCACGACGUCUUUAUUUUGUGCUCCGAUGGAAGUGGUCAUAUAGCAAUUUUGUUGUGAGAGACGUAUGGGUAGGCCCUACUUUUCUAUUAUGUCAUGUUAUGUGGAUUGGUGAUGUUUGUGUCAAACACGCAUUCCAAUUUUGCAUGCAUUUAAAUUCACGGUCUAAUGUAUGUUACUUGCCUAUGUGACAUUAUUUGACUUACAUGUGUGGCAAGAUAUAUUCUGUUUUAUUUUGAACUCGGUAUAAAAUAAUACAAUCAUUUGAUUCAGUCUACUAAUUCGUUGUGAUAGUUUUGUUUAGUUCAGUUUAUGUUAAUUGAGUUAUUUGUUUCAGUUCAUUAUUUUUUUGCACUCUAUAUCCGUACUGAACAUGAAUCAUGCUGUGUUUUUUCCUUCCCGCAGGUAAUCAGAGAGAUGAAGGACAAGUGUGAUGAGAGCUCCGUUCUGGCUAAUGGUUUAAAUAUUUUGUUUAGGUUGUGAUAUUUUGAUUUAUUCGGAGUUGUAAUAAAUAUAUUAAAUUAUGGCAAAAAGCACUUUUACACCAUUGUGGUUGUAGUGUUUUAAGCAAUUAGUCAUUGUGUUUUAAAAAUAUUCAAUUGACCCACUGUGGUUUUAAAAAAUGUACAAUCAAGCCAUUCCGUCUAA
RNAcentral lists this long non-coding RNA (5465 nucleotides) under Panax ginseng (ginseng). RNAcentral's name for it is "long non-coding RNA (PGIN_LNC012595)". The stretch from base 2554 to 2630 matches the Rfam family "tRNA". Lineage: Eukaryota; Viridiplantae; Streptophyta; Magnoliopsida; Apiales; Araliaceae. The record is from RNAcentral.